AACUAAAUUUGUUCUUGGUAUGAGCUUUCGUGUGCAUGCACACUUCUUCAGAUAGGUAUCUGAGGAAGUGUGCAUGCACACGAAAGCUCAUACCAAGAACAAACUUAGUUGG
Molecule: non-coding RNA, 112 nt
Organism: Podarcis lilfordi (Lilford's wall lizard)
Lineage: Eukaryota; Metazoa; Chordata; Lepidosauria; Squamata; Lacertidae
Source: the annotation of a GenBank genome assembly